This 348-nucleotide unclassified non-coding RNA is filed under the name Hevea brasiliensis (rubber tree). Lineage: Eukaryota; Viridiplantae; Streptophyta; Magnoliopsida; Malpighiales; Euphorbiaceae. The record is from RNAcentral.
GAUGGAUCGACGGGGGACCGUCAAAUCUCUUUCUCUUCUUUCUCCCGAUCUUCCAUCGGAGAGAAAAUCUAGGUCCUAACGAUUUCUAAUGGAAAUCUAGAAACUUCUCAAAAUUCACGUACAGUUCCGACGGAGUAGAUGGAUCGACGGAGGACGGAAAGUCCGGUGUACGCUCGGCAGUGGAGUGGAGGAUCAAGUAGUACAGGUUCAUCGUCGCCGGCGGGAUCGCCGGCUCAUCCCCGUGCUCGAUUGCCUCCUACGGUAACAGGAAUGUCUACUAUAAAGAGGACUCAGAAUGUGGCCGCCAAAGCUGCUGCUCAGCGUUUGGCACAAGUUAUGGCUUCUUCU